Molecule: ribosomal RNA, 658 nt
Filed under: uncultured bacterium
Lineage: Bacteria
Description: bacterial SSU rRNA
Rfam family: Bacterial small subunit ribosomal RNA
Source: RNAcentral
GCAUGUUCACAUGAUUAAAGGUAUUCCGGUAGACGAUGGGGAUGCGUUCCAUUAGAUAGUAGGCGGGGUAACGGCCCACCUAGUCUUCGAUGGAUAGGGGUUCUGAGAGGAAGGUCCCCCACAUUGGAACUGAGACACGGUCCAAACUCCUACGGGAGGCAGCAGUGAGGAAUAUUGGUCAAUGGGCGAGAGCCUGAACCAGCCAAGUAGCGUGAAGGAUGACUGCCCUAUGGGUUGUAAACUUCUUUUAUAAAGGAAUAAAGUCGGGUAUGCAUACCCGUUUGCAUGUACUUUAUGAAUAAGGAUCGGCUAACUCCGUGCCAGCAGCCGCGGUAAUACGGAGGAUCCGAGCGUUAUCCGGAUUUAUUGGGUUUAAAGGGAGCGUAGAUGGAUGUUUAAGUCAGUUGUGAAAGUUUGCGGCUCAACCGUAAAAUUGCAGUUGAUACUGGAUAUCUUGAGUGCAGUUGAGGCAGGCGGAAUUCGUGGUGUAGCGGUGAAAUGCUUAGAUAUCACGAAGAACUCCGAUUGCGAAGGCAGCCUGCUAAGCUGCAACUGACAUUGAGGCUCGAAAGUGUGGGCAUCAAACAGGAUUAGAUACCCUGGUAGUCCACACGGUAAACGAUGAAUACUCGCUGUUUGCGAUAUACAGCAAGCGGCC